This 1359-nucleotide ribosomal RNA is filed under the name uncultured bacterium. RNAcentral describes it as "16S ribosomal RNA". It matches the Rfam family "Bacterial small subunit ribosomal RNA", at positions 17 to 1394 of the family's 1533-position model. The record is from RNAcentral.
UCCUGGCUCAGGACGAACGCUGGCGGCAUGCCUAACACAUGCAAGUCGAACGGAUACCGAAAGGUAUUAGUGGCGAACGGGUGAGUAACACGUGAACAAUCUGCCUUCUGCUAUGGGAUAACACCUGGAAACGGGUGCUAAUACCGUAUAUGACCACGCCGGGGCAUCCCGGAGGGGUGAAAGCGUUUAAAGCGGCAGGAGAUGAGUUCGCGUCCAAUUAGUUAGUUGGCGGGAUAAAGGCCCACCAAGACUUCGAUUGGUAGCCGGCUUGAGAGAGCGAACGGCCACACUGGAACUGAGACACGGUCCAGACUCCUACGGGAGGCAGCAGUGGGGAAUAUUGGGCAAUGGAGGAAACUCUUACCCAGCAAUGCCGCGUGAGUGAAUGAAGGUCUUCGGAUUGUAAAGCUCUUUAAUCGGGGACGAAGAAAUGACGGUACCCGAGGAAUAAGCCCCGGCUAACUAUGUGCCAGCAGCCGCGGUAAUACAUAGGGGGCGAGCGUUGUCCGGAAUGACUGGGCGUAAAGGGUGUGUAGGCGGUCUGACAAGUCGGAAGUGUAAUACCUUCGCUUAACGAAGGUGCUGCUUCCGAAACUGUGGGACUACGAGUGUCGGAGAGGAAAACGGAAUUCCUGAUGUAGCGGUGGAAUGCGUAGAUAUCAGGAGGAACACCGGGAGGCGAAAGCGGUUUUCUGGACGACAACUGACGCUGAGGCACGAAAGCGUGGGGAGCAAACAGGAUUAGAUACCCUGGUAGUCCACGCUGUAAACGAUGGAUACUGGGUGUAGGGGGUAUCGACUCCCCCUGUACCGAAGCAAACGCAUUAAGUAUCCCGCCUGGGGAGUACGGCCGCAAGGUUGAAACUCAAAGGAAUUGACGGGGACCCGCACAAGCAGCGGAGCAUGUGGUUUAAUUCGAAGCAACACGAAGAACCUUACCAAGACUUGACAUCGUACGGCGACGUCGGAAACGACGUUUUCCCCGCAAGGGGACGUAUAGACAGGUGGUGCAUGGUUGUCGUCAGCUCGUGUCGUGAGAUGUUGGGUUAAGUCCCGCAACGAGCGCAACCCUUAUCGACAGUUGCCAAUAUUAAGUUAGGAACUCUGUCGAGACUGCCGCGGAUAACGCGGAGGAAGGUGAGGAUGACGUCAAAUCAUCAUGCCCCUUACGUCUUGGGCUACACACGUGCUACAAUGGCCGUUACAAAGGGCAGCGAAAUGGCAACAUGAAGCAAAUCCCAUAAAGACGGUCUCAGUUCAGAUUGCGGGCUGCAACUCGCCCGCAUAAAGACGGAGUUGCUAGUAAUCCCGAAUCAGAAUGUCGGGGUGAAUGCGUUCCCGGGUCUUGUACACACCGCC